CUCAUAAUUCGUCUUUUAAAUGGCGGCUGGAAUGAAUGAUUGGACGAGGUAAAUUCUGUCUCAUUAAAAUUAAAAUUUGAAUUUAAUUUUUUAGUUAAAAAGCUUAAAUAUUAUUAAAGGACGAGAAGACCCUAUAGAGCUUUAUAUUAUUAUUAUUAUUAAUUUUUAAUUUUAUUUUAUUAAUAAUAUAAUAUUUUGUUGGGGCGACAGGAAAAUUUAUUAAACUUUUUUAAAUUUAUUACAUUGAUUUAUGAAUUUUUGAUCCUAAAUUUUAGAUUAUUAGAUUAAGUUACCUUAGGGAUAACAGCGUUAUUUUUUUUAAAA
This 324-nucleotide ribosomal RNA is filed under the name Arge berberidis. RNAcentral's name for it is "partial large subunit ribosomal RNA". The record is from RNAcentral. Lineage: Eukaryota; Metazoa; Arthropoda; Insecta; Hymenoptera; Argidae.